CCAUGGCAUAUGGAAGUUCCUGGGCCAGGGAUCGAAUUGGAGCCACCGCUGUGAUGGCAGGGGACUGAACCCAGAGACCAUGUUGGAGCCAACCUGCUGCAUCACAGCGGGAACACCUAGGACGGCUUUUUUUAAAAAUGAGAAUAAGAAGUGUUGGCAGGGACACAGAGACAUGGGAACCUCCUACAUUGCUGGUGAGAAUGGAAACCAGUGCAGCCACUCGGGAAAAAAGCUUGGCAGCUGCUCAAAUGGCUGAACAUAGAUUUAACUCUUUGAUCCAGCAAUUCACUCCUGGGUGUAUACUGAAAAGAACCAAAAAAGGUGUUCAGCCAGAUCCUUGUACGGGACUGUUCGCAGCAACACUAUUCACAACAGCCAAAGGCAGAAACAACCCAAAUGUCCACCAAUCGAUGAAUGGCUAAAACCAUGUGAUAUUUCCAUACAGUUCAGUCUUAGCCAUAAAAAGGAACAAACCACUAGUAUUUGCUAUCACAUACAUGAAUCUUAAAAACAGUAUGCAAGUCAGAAUUCUUGGCUCCGCGGUUGGCGAACCCAACUAGCAUCCACGAGGACUCGGGUUCAAUCCCUGGCCUUGCUCAGUGGGUUAAGGAUCCAGCAUUGCCAUGACCUGUGGUGUAGGUCACAGACUCAGCAGGCACAUAUUCCGCGAUGCUGUGGCUCUGGUGUAGGCCAGCAGCUGCAGCUUGGAUUCAGCCCCUAGCCUGGGAACCUCCAUGUGCCUCAGGUGUGGCCAUAAGAAAGACAAAAAGACCAAAAAAACCCACAAAAUUAUGCAAGUGAAAAAAAUCAGAUACAAAAAGACCAGAUAUUGUAUCAUUCCACUUAUAUGAAAUAUUGAAUAUGCAAAUUCAGAAAGACAUAGAGAUUAGCUGUCGCUAGGGGCUGCAGGGAGGGGAAGAUGAGUUACGGGAGUGAGGAAAAGGUUUUGGGACUAAAUAAAGGUGGUGGUUUCACAACAUUGCGACCAUACUAAUGUCCCCUGAAUUGUUCAUUUUAAAAUGGUUAAUUUUUCCUUAUUCCGUUUUUUCUUUUUAGGGCCGCACCCACGGCAUACGGAGGUUCCCGGGUUGGGGGGUCCAAUCGGAGCUACGGCUGCCGACCUACACCACAGCCACAGCAACUCGGGAUCCGAGCCACGUCUGUAACCUACACCACAGCUCAUGGCAACGCCAGAUCCUUAACCCACUGAUCGAGGCCAGAGAUCGAACCUACAACCUCAUGGUUCCUAGUCGGCCUCACCAUGAUGGGAACUCCCCUUUUUUUUUUGCCUUGCCCGAGGUCUACAGAAGUUCCCAGGCCAGGGAUCAAACCUGAGCCACUGCAGUGACAACGCUGGAUCCUUAACUGCCAGGCCUCCAGGGAACUCCUAAAAUGGUUGAUUUAUGUAUUAUUUGAAUCACCUGAAUUAAAAGGAGAAGUGAUCAACUGGAAGCAAAGGCCCUGAGCAAUCCUGAGUGAAACCGGGGCACACAAACCAGCCAGCAGGGCCUGUCUGUGGACAGCUGGGACUUGGGGAUGUGAAAUAGACACGCUAGGGAGUAAGGAAGCUUCCAAAGACUUGUUUUUGGCUGGUGAGAGGGGUUUCUUUUUCCCUUUUUUGGCCACCCCUCAGCAUGUGGAGGUCCAGGACCAGGGAUCAAAUCCCAGCCAGAGUUGGGACCUAUGCCACCCAUAGCUGUGGCAACACUGGAUCUAUAACCCACUGUGCCAGGCCAGGGAUCGAACCUGAGUCCCAGUGGCUGUGAGGAACCGCUGAUCCCACUGGAACAAAGAGAGGUUUGAAGACGUUGGCCUUGGAGUUCCCGGUGUGGCUUGCCAGGUUACAAACCCCACUAGUAUCCAUGAGGACACAGUUCAAUCCCCGGCCCCAGUCAAAGGGUUAAGGAUUCGUCAUUGCCAUGAACUGUGGUGUAGCCUGGGAACUUCCAUAGGCCGCAGGUUCGGGUGUGGCCCUAAAUGGUUAACUCACUACAAAUGAUUGGCUCACAUGUGCCCUUGAGCUAGAGAAUUCCAGGAGAGAGCUGGCGGUCAGAGGGAGGGAAGGCUGCAGUGGGCCCUGCACCAGGGUGCCAGGAACACCUGCCCCGAGGCACCCAGGAGCAAAGGAUUGAGGACCUUGGAUGAAAACACAGGUUAAUCUGGCUCCAGCGCAUCAAGGUGGGGAGGGAAGAAGAGGCUGUAAGGACAGAACUGCCCGGCGUGCCACCCCAAGGGCUCUCCCCUUCACCUACAAGCUUUACCUUUUUGGGGGGCUUUUGAGGGCUGCACGUGUGGCAUAUGGAAGUUCCUGGCCUAGGGGUCGAAUCAGAGCUACAGCUCUCAGCCGACACCACAGCCACAGCCACGCCAGAUCCAAGCCGCAUCCGCGAUCUGUACCAUAGCUCAAGGCAACGCCGGAUCCUUACCCCACUGAGCGAGGUCAGGGAUCCAACUCACAUCCUCAUGGAUCCUAGUCGGGGUCUGAACCCACUGAGCAUGCCAGGAACUCCCUUAAUUUUUUUUUUUUUUAUUAUUUUCCCACUGUAUAGCAAGGGGGUCAGGUCAUCCUUAGAUGUAUACAUUGCAGUUACAGUUUUUUCCCCCAUAAUUUUUUAAGUUUUUUUUUUUUUUUUUUUUUUUUUUUUUUUUUUNNNNNNNNNNNNNNNNNNNNNNNNNNNNNNNNNNNNNNNNNNNNNNNNNNNNNNNNNNNNNNNNNNNNNNNNNNNNNNNNNNNNNNNNNNNNNNNNNNNNNNNNNNNNNNNNNNNNNNNNNNNNNNNNNNNNNNNNNNNNNNNNGUCUGCAACCUACACCACAGCUCACGGCAACGCCGGAUCCUUAACCCACUGAGCAAGGGCAGGGACUGAACCCGCAACCUCAUGGUUCCUAGUCGGAUUCGUUAACCACUGCGCCACGACGGGAACUCCGGUUUUUUAAGUUUUUUAAGUUUUGCAAAUUAAUGCAGGGACCCCGGAGCCGAGGCAGAGGCAGUUGUAUCGUUAGGAUGAUUCGUUAACUUCAGGUCCCUCCUCCUCCCCACAGUUUCCUCCAGCAAGGCUGGCAGGAGGUUCUUUGUCUUUUAUAUGCGAAAGCAACUCAAAAUCGCAAUUAUUCCUCGUGCCACCCCAACCCCCUCAAUGACCGUCUU
RNAcentral lists this long non-coding RNA (3145 nucleotides) under Sus scrofa (pig). RNAcentral describes it as "lncRNA (ENSSSCG00040059349.1)". Lineage: Eukaryota; Metazoa; Chordata; Mammalia; Artiodactyla; Suidae. The record is from RNAcentral.